GCCGGAGACGAUGACUUUAGGAUAGAUCCGGCAGUCCGUGAGAUGGGGCAGUACAUUCAACUAUUAAGGGUUGGGUAAAAUACGAGAUAAAAAGAAAGCAUGAGAAUGAGACCAUUAAAAGGGAUAUAUUGAGUUCAUCAAAAGGAA
Rhodamnia argentea is the source of this 147-nucleotide long non-coding RNA. RefSeq lists it as uncharacterized. NCBI's taxonomy places the organism in Eukaryota, Viridiplantae, Streptophyta, Magnoliopsida, Myrtales, Myrtaceae. The record is from RefSeq and is a predicted model, not a curated record. The transcript is spliced from 2 exons.